GAUGAACGCUGGCGGCGUGCUUAACACAUGCAAGUCGAGCGAAGCACUUAAGUCUGAUUCUUCGGAUGAAGACUUUUGUGACUGAGCGGCGGACGGGUGAGUAACGCGUGGGUAACCUGCCUCAUACAGGGGGAUAACAGUUAGAAAUGACUGCUAAUACCGCAUAAGACCACGGUACCGCAUGGUACAGUGGUAAAAACUCCGGUGGUAUGAGAUGGACCCGCGUCUGAUUAGGUAGUUGGUGGGGUAACGGCCUACCAAGCCGACGAUCAGGAGCCGACCUGAGAGGGUGACCGGCCACAUUGGGACUGAGACACGGCCCAGACUCCUACGGGAGGCAGCAGUGGGGAAUAUUGCACAAUGGAGGAAACUCUGAUGCAGCGACGCCGCGUGAAGGAUGAAGUAUUUCGGAUUGUAAACCUCUGUUGUACGGGAAGAAGUAGAUGACGGUACCGUACGAGUAAGCCCCGGCAAACUACGUGCCAGCAGCCGCCGUAA
Molecule: ribosomal RNA, 498 nt
Filed under: uncultured bacterium
Lineage: Bacteria
Description: partial 16S ribosomal RNA
Rfam family: Bacterial small subunit ribosomal RNA
Source: RNAcentral